GAUGAACGCUGGCGGCGUGCCUAAUACAUGCAAGUCGAGCGAACAGAUGAGUAUCUUGCUCCUCUGACUUUAGCGGCUUACGUGUGAGUAACACGUGGAUAACCUACCUAUAUUUCUUGGAUAACUUCGGGAAACCGGAGCUAAUACCGGUUAAUAUAUUUAACCUCAUGGUUCCAUAGUGAAAGACGUUUUUGCUUUCACUUAUAGAUGGAUCCGCGCCGCAUUAUCUAGUUAGUAAGGUAACGGCUUACCAAGGCAACGAUGCGUAGCCGACCUGAGAGGGGGAUAGGCAAAACUGGAAGUGAAACACGGUACAGAAAACUACGGGAGGAAAAAGAAGGGAAUAUUCAGCAAUGGGCGAAAGAAUGACGGAGCAAAGAAGAGUGAGAGAUGAAGGUAUGCGGAUAGUAAAACUAUGUUAAUAGGGAAGAACAAAUGAGUAAGUAACAAUGCAAGUAUUGACGGUACCAAAACAGAAAGCAAAGGCUAACUACGUG
Molecule: ribosomal RNA, 497 nt
Filed under: uncultured bacterium
Lineage: Bacteria
Description: partial 16S ribosomal RNA
Rfam family: Bacterial small subunit ribosomal RNA
Source: RNAcentral